RNAcentral lists this ribosomal RNA (253 nucleotides) under uncultured bacterium. RNAcentral describes it as "partial 16S ribosomal RNA". It matches the Rfam family "Bacterial small subunit ribosomal RNA", at positions 524 to 776 of the family's 1533-position model. The record is from RNAcentral.
UACGUAGGGUGCGAGCGUUGUCCGGAAUUAUUGGGCGUAAAGAGCUCGUAGGCGGUCUGUCGCGUCUGCUGUGAAAUCCCGAGGCUCAACCUCGGGCUUGCAGUGGGUACGGGCAGGCUAGAGUGCGGUAGGGGAGAAUGGAACUCCUGGUGUAGCGGUGAAAUGCGCAGAUAUCAGGAGGAACACCGGUGGCGAAGGCGGGUCUCUGGGCCAUAACUGACGCUGAGGAGCGAAAGCGUGGGGAGCGAACAGG